This 447-nucleotide ribosomal RNA is filed under the name uncultured bacterium. RNAcentral's name for it is "SSU rRNA". It matches the Rfam family "Bacterial small subunit ribosomal RNA", at positions 26 to 518 of the family's 1533-position model. The record is from RNAcentral.
AGAGCGAACGCUGGCGGCAGGCCUAAUACAUGCAAGUCGAACGGGAUCCUUCGGGAUUAGUGGCGGACGGGUGAGUAACACGUGGGAACGUGCCCUUUGGUUCGGAACAACUCAGGGAAACUUGAGCUAAUACCGAAUGUGCCCUUCGGGGAAAGAUUUAUCGCCAUUGGAGCGGCCCGCGUCUGAUUAGCUAGUUGGUGGGGUAAAGGCCCACCAAGGCGACGAUCAGUAGCUGGUCUGAGAGGAUGAUCAGCCACACUGGGACUGAGACACGGCCCAGACUCCUACGGGAGGCAGCAGUAGGGAAUCUUGCGCAAUGGGCGAAAGCCUGACGCAGCCAUGCCGCGUGAAUGAUGAAGGUCUUAGGAUUGUAAAAAUUCUUUCAGCGGGGACGAUAAUGACGGUACCCGCAGAAGAAGCCCCGGCUAACUUCGCGCCAGCAGCCGC